Magnolia sinica is the source of this 2109-nucleotide RNA transcript. RefSeq lists it as uncharacterized. NCBI's taxonomy places the organism in Eukaryota, Viridiplantae, Streptophyta, Magnoliopsida, Magnoliales, Magnoliaceae. The transcript is spliced from 6 exons. The record is from RefSeq and is a predicted model, not a curated record.
AGGCAAAGUGGGGCCUAAACAGUUUACCAACCAAAUAGGUUUAUGCCUUAGUUUGCGAUGAGUACUUGUGCCAUGGUGAGAUCGGGUUUGUCAAUAGUGGAAAUAGUCUGUUUCUAUAUCUGCCCUCUACACAUUCGAUAAAAUGCCUGAAAAGGAUGUUUCUUGUUAAUGGUUGUUGCUAAUUGAAGCCAUGCAUCAGUCCAACUGAGGAUCCUAACUAGCCUUGAGCAAAUAUGAAUAAAUAAAUAGUUUUGUAUUGGUUGGAAAUGAAUUUCCAUUGUACUCAUAAGGCUAUUCAAGUGGUUUGCUCACUUGCACAAAAUCAUUUACAACUUAAACCAUUUACCACCAUCCAAACAACCACUUAGGUAUUGAUUUGUUUCAAAUUUUCAGAUAGUUGGCACGGAAACCUACCCGUCUUGUCAGGUUUUGUAGAUGCCAGUUUGUUAGAAUGCAAUCCUUUAUCUAGACCCCCGUUGGUUCCAAAGCCUAUUUUUAAUUGUAGGUUUCAAUUUGAAUCUUCAUUUUUGGCUUUUAGUUAUGGAAAUUGUUAAUACCUGUUGUUAAAACCUCGGUUUUAGAAGUCUUACAAUUUCAUGUCUGCAUUUUGUUUGCUGAUUCUCACUAUAUUUUAGCUUCUCUCUUCUUCUUUUUUCCGCUUUCGUGAGGCAGAUUUCCAGAUCUUGCAGACCUUGAACAUGUUAACUUACUUGAAUUUCUCUGUUUUGUUCUUUACAUAAUUUCCUGUAUCAGUUGUGCAAAGGAGCUGCUCAUUGUCACAGCCAUGGAGUGCUACACAGGUUACCUUUUUGUUGGUUAUUCACUGAAGAAAUGUGACGGGUCAAGAAUUUGGUGGGAUGGAUUGUGCAGUUUUAACUGUAAAUAUCAGCUGGAAUCCUUGGAAUAUUUGGUCAGGAGGUUGUUGAACUUCCUUUGGUUACUAUAAGUAAAGAAAUCCAAAGAACGGUAAGGCAUUCAACUUAAAAAAGAAAAGUUUAUUACGAUGAACUUAGUAAAGCCUUUAAAUAAGCUGAUAUAUCAGUAAAGAUACACAUUGCCACAUAGAUGAUGUUUUUCUGAGGUUUGCUAAGCCCCAUGUGUGUGCAGGCAUACCAUGUACAAGCUACAAGCCUACAACAUCUGCCAUCAUGGCAGGCAGGUGGACUGUUAGAACAGGUGGAUAGCUUAGAAAAAUUCUGCAAUUUUUUAGUCAUAUAUCUGUUUCAUAAUCUGUGGCUCACUUCUUUAUUGGAUUGACCAGAUUCUUUGACUGUGGAUGUCAACAUAAUGGGACCCUUGUGAUGGAUGGUCCGAUCUCGUACCUUUAUGCAACCAUUCAGACUUGUGUAGGCUUAGCGAAGCUCAUUUUUUCUUGUAAUAUGGCUUUUCUUUCUUUUUUUCAUUCUUUUUUCUUCUUCUUCUGCCCCACUCUCGCCCAUGUCUCCAAUGAUAGUCCAAGUACUGAACAAUCAACUCCUUGUGUGUAACUGAAACAUUUCAAGCUCUAUCCUCAUUUAUUUAGAGCUUCUCUUCACAUUGCUUUUGACCUCAUUCUAUCAGAUUCUUUCUGCUGUUUUGUUAUCAUACAACCUACUAAUUGGUGGUGCAUGGUAUUUCAGUGAUGAAAGAAGGUGUAAAGUUCUCAACCAGAGGUGAUAUUGGCAGUGCAAAUAUAGUAUGCAGGCAGAACAACACUGUAGACAAGGUCUUGGCUAUAGAGGAGCUCUUCAAGCACAGGGUGACAAAUGUUUGGUUCAUGGGAAUGGGUUAGCUAAUGCUGAAUCCGAAGUCAGUUUUGGAAGCACAUAGGUGCUUGAAUAAGAAAUUCGAUAGUUCCUGAAUUGCAAACUUAUGGUGGUUGCCGGAUGCAGUUGAUCGACCUGCAUGGCUUGCAUUUGAGUGAAGCCAUACAUGUGUUGAAGCAUGGCCUGAAAGUCUUGAGGAGCUUGGGUAGGUCCACCAGGCAACGGCUACAGGUCAUGAUAUGUUGUUACCUGUUGGAAGAAGAGUGCCUUGACCACACAGCCGUAGCCGGGGAUGCUGCAAGUUGUGAUAUAUUGACACUGUAACAUGUACAAAAUUCCAAACCUGGGUGGUAAGGAAGAGGAA